GAUCCUGGCUCAGGAAAAACGCUGGCGGCGUGCUUAACACAAUGCAGUCGAACGAUGAAGCCCAGCUUGCUGGGUGGAUUAGUGGCGAACGGGUGAGUACACGUGAGUAACCUGCCCCUGACUCUGGGAUAAGCCCGGGAAACUGGGUCUAAUACCGGAUAUGACCAUGGGCCGCAUGUCUUGAGGUGGGAAAAGAUUUAUCGGUUGGGGAUGGACUCGCGGGCCUAAUCAGCUUUGUUGGGUGAGGUAAUGGCUCACCAAAGGCGAACGACGGGUAGCCGGCCUGAAGAGGGGUGACCGGCCCACACUGGGACUGAGACACGGCCCAGACUCCUACGGGAGGCAGCAGUGGGGAAUAUUGCCAAUGGGCGCAAGCCUGAUGCACGACGCCGCGUGAGGAUGACGGCCUUCGGGUUGUAAACCUCUUUCAGUAGGGAAGAAGCGAGAGUGACGGUACCUACAGAAGAAGCGCCGGCUAACUACUUGCCAGCAGCCGCGGUAAUACGUAGGGCGCAAGCGUUAUCCGGAUUUAUUGGGCGUAAAGAGCUCGUAGGCGGUUUGUCGCGUCUGCCGUGAAAGUCCGAGGCUCAACCUCGGAUCUGCGGUGGGUACGGGCAGACUAGAGUGAUGUAGGGGAGACUGGAAUUCCUGGUGUAGCGGUGAAAUGCGCAGAUAUCAGGAGGAACACCGAUGGCGAAGGCAGGUCUCUGGGCAUUUACUGACGCUGAGGAGCGAAAGCAUGGGGAGCGAACAGGAUUAGAUACCCUGGUAGUCCAUGCCGUAAACGUUGGGCACUAGGUGUGGGGGACAUUCCACGUUUUCCGCGCCGUAGCUAACGCAUUAAGUGCCCCGCCUGGGGAGUACGGCCGCAAGGCUAAAACUCAAAGGAAUUGACGGGGGCCCGCACAAGCGGCGGAGCAUGCGGAUUAAUUCGAUGCAACGCGAAGAACCUUACCAAGGCUUGACAUGUUCCAGACCGCCUCAGAGAUGGGGUUUCCCUUCGGGGCUGG
This 1010-nucleotide ribosomal RNA is filed under the name Glutamicibacter protophormiae. RNAcentral describes it as "bacterial SSU rRNA". It matches the Rfam family "Bacterial small subunit ribosomal RNA", at positions 15 to 1030 of the family's 1533-position model. The record is from RNAcentral. Lineage: Bacteria; Bacillati; Actinomycetota; Actinomycetes; Micrococcales; Micrococcaceae.